RNAcentral lists this ribosomal RNA (1267 nucleotides) under Henosepilachna vigintioctopunctata. RNAcentral's name for it is "16S ribosomal RNA". Lineage: Eukaryota; Metazoa; Arthropoda; Insecta; Coleoptera; Coccinellidae. The record is from RNAcentral.
GUAGAAAAAUUUAUUUAAAUAAUUUUUAUUUAUAUCUUAAUUAAAAUAAUAUUUAUUUUAUUAAAAAAUAGAAAAAAUUAAAUUUAUUAUAGUUAAUUAGUAUUGAAAAAGAAAAUUUUUAAAUUUUUAAAAGAAGAUUUAAAAUUGUACCUUGUGUAUCAGGGUUUAUUAAUUAAAAAUUAAUUAUUUCUUAAUUUUCUCGAAUUUAAAAGAGCUAAAAAUUUAUUAAUUUUAUUGUGUCAUAAAUAUUUAAAAUAUUUUUUUAGUAAUGAAAUGUUAAUCGUUUUUAAAUAUAUCUAGUUUUUUUAGAAAAAAAUUCAAUUUUUUAUAUAAUUUUAAUUUUAAAGAUUUUAUUUUAAUUUAAAUUAUAUUAAUAAAAUUUUAGGGAUAAGCUUGAAAUUUAAAUUUUAAAAUUUAAUUAAUUUUUGAAUAAAUUGUAGAAUUAAAAUUUUUUUUCAUUUAAAGGAUUUAAAAAUUUGUUAUUAGUUUAUAAAAAUUUAUAUUAAGUUUAAUUUUUAUAUAAAAAUGUUAAAUUAAAUUUUUAAUUUUAAGUAAUAAUGAUAGAAUUAGUAUAAAAUAAUGUUAAUUUAAAAAUUUAAAAAAAUUUAAAAUUAAAGAAUUCGGCAAAUUAUUUUCCACCUGUUUAUUAAAAACAUCUCUUUUUGAUUUUAAUUUAAAGUUUGGCCUGCCCACUGAAUUUUGAAGGGCCGCAGUAUUUUGACUGUGCAAAGGUAGCAUAAUCAUUAGUUUUUUAAUUGAAAGCUUGUAUGAAUGGUUUGAUGAGAAAAUUACUGUUUCAAUUUUAUUAAUAGAAUUUUAUUUUUAAGUUAAAAAGCUUAAAUAAUAUUUAAAGACGAGAAGACCCUAUAGAGUUUGACUAAAUAUAAAAUUAAUAAUUUUAGAAUUUUAAAUUUUUAAUUUAAUUUAAGUUUUGUUGGGGUGACAAAAAAAUUAAAUUAACUUUUUUUUUAUAUAAACAAUUAUAAUUGAAUAAUUGAUCCAUAAAAAUGAUUAUAAGAUUAAAUUACCUUAGGGAUAACAGCGUAAUCUUUUUAAUAGUUCUUAUUGAAAAAAAGGUUUGCGACCUCGAUGUUGGAUUAAAAUUUAUUUUUGGUGUAGAAGCUAAAAUAUUAGGUCUGUUCGACCUUUGAAAUUUUACAUGAUCUGAGUUUAAACCGGUGUGAGCCAGGUUGGUUUCUAUCUUAAACAAAAAAAAUAUUUUAGUACGAAAGGAUCAAAUAUUAUAUUAAAAAUAUUAAUUAAGAAU